AGCGGCGGACGGGUGAGUAACGCGUGGGUAACCUGCCUCAUACAGGGGGAUAACAGUUGGAAACGGCUGCUAAUACCGCAUAAGCGCACAGUACCGCAUGGUACCGUGUGAAAAACUCCGGUGGUAUGAGAUGGACCCGCGUCUGAUUAGCUAGUUGGUGGGGUAACGGCCUACCAAGGCGACGAUCAGUAGCCGACCUGAGAGGGUGACCGGCCACAUUGGGACUGAGACACGGUCCAAACUCCUACGGGAGGCAGCAUG
RNAcentral lists this ribosomal RNA (261 nucleotides) under uncultured bacterium. RNAcentral describes it as "partial 16S ribosomal RNA". It matches the Rfam family "Bacterial small subunit ribosomal RNA", at positions 94 to 353 of the family's 1533-position model. The record is from RNAcentral.